UUCCUUUUCAAUUCCAGCCGCCAAGGCGAC
This 30-nucleotide small RNA is filed under the name Bombyx mori (domestic silkworm). RNAcentral describes it as "ovarian small RNA-37358". Lineage: Eukaryota; Metazoa; Arthropoda; Insecta; Lepidoptera; Bombycidae. The record is from RNAcentral.